UACGUAGGGUGCGAGCGUUGUCCGGAAUUAUUGGGCGUAAAGAGCUCGUAGGCGGUGUGUCACGUCGGCCGUGAAAACCUGCAGCUUAACUGUGGGCGUGCGGUCGAUACGGGCAUCACUGGAGUUCGGCAGGGGAGACUGGAAUUCCUGGUGUAGCGGUGAAAUGCGCAGAUAUCAGGAGGAACACCGGUGGCGAAGGCGGGUCUCUGGGUCGAUACUGACGCUGAGGAGCGAAAGCGUGGGGAGCAAACAGG
RNAcentral lists this ribosomal RNA (254 nucleotides) under uncultured bacterium. Its description in RNAcentral is "partial 16S ribosomal RNA". It matches the Rfam family "Bacterial small subunit ribosomal RNA", at positions 524 to 776 of the family's 1533-position model. The record is from RNAcentral.